AACGCGAAGAACCUUACCUGGGUUUGACAUCUCUGGACAACCGUAGAGAUACGGCUUUCGUAGCAAUACGACCAGAAGACAGGUGCUGCAUGGCUGUCGUCAGCUCGUGUGGUGACAUGUUGGGUUAAGUCCCGCAACGAGCGCAACCCCUGUCCUUAGUUGCCAGCAUUAAGUUGGGCUCUCUAAGGAGACUGCCGUGGUUAACACGGAGGAAGGUGGGGAUGACGUCAAGUCCUCAUGGCCUUUAUAUCCAGGGCGACACACGUGAUACAAUGGGUAGUACAGAGGGAAGCGAAACCGCGAGGUGGAGCCAAUCUCAAAAAGCUACUCUCAGUUCGGAUUGGAGUCUGCAACUCGACUCCAUGAAGUUGGAAUCGCUAGUAAUCGCGGAUCAGCACGCCGCGGUGAAUACGUUCCCGGGCCUUGUACACACCGCAUAC
Molecule: ribosomal RNA, 440 nt
Filed under: uncultured bacterium
Lineage: Bacteria
Description: bacterial SSU rRNA
Rfam family: Bacterial small subunit ribosomal RNA
Source: RNAcentral